UAAUAUUUCUACAAAGGAAGUUUCUGUUUCUGCUAGACUCUGUUGAGGCCUAGAACUUGAAGCUUAGACUUGAUCUCCCAGCUGCAUUACUCAUGAUGUCCUGCCCAGCUGUCCCCAGUUAAACAACUGCAGCCCAAAUGAGAUCUCAGAUGAAGCAGACUGGAUUUCAGGAGUGAGGGAGGAGGAUGAGUGAAGUCUGUCUGG
This 204-nucleotide long non-coding RNA is filed under the name Dromaius novaehollandiae (emu). Its description in RNAcentral is "lncRNA (ENSDNVG00000001062.1)". The record is from RNAcentral. Lineage: Eukaryota; Metazoa; Chordata; Aves; Casuariiformes; Dromaiidae.